This 224-nucleotide ribosomal RNA is filed under the name uncultured Eubacteriales bacterium. RNAcentral describes it as "uncultured Clostridiales bacterium partial 16S ribosomal RNA". It matches the Rfam family "Bacterial small subunit ribosomal RNA", at positions 109 to 334 of the family's 1533-position model. Lineage: Bacteria; Bacillati; Bacillota; Clostridia; Eubacteriales. The record is from RNAcentral.
AGUAACGCGUGAGUAGCCUGCCUUACACAAGGGGAUAGCCGUUGGAAACGACGAGUAAUACCCUAUGAAACUAUCACUUCGCAUGAAGCGAUAGUCAAAGUGUUAGCGGUGUAAGAUGGACUUGCGUCUGACUAGCUAGUUGGUGAGAAAAAGCCCACCAAGGCAACGAUCAGUAGCCGGCUUGAGAGAGUGUACGGCCACAUUGGGACUGAGACACGGCCCAG